GCGGACGUAGCUCAAUGGUAGAGCCUCUGCCUUCCAAGCAGAUCACGCGGGUUCGAUUCCCGUCGUCCGCUCCA
This 74-nucleotide transfer RNA is filed under the name Schaalia hyovaginalis. RNAcentral's name for it is "tRNA-Gly". It matches the Rfam family "tRNA". Rfam says of the family: Transfer RNA (tRNA) molecules are approximately 80 nucleotides in length. Their secondary structure includes four short double-helical elements and three loops (D, anti-codon, and T loops). The record is from RNAcentral. Lineage: Bacteria; Bacillati; Actinomycetota; Actinomycetes; Actinomycetales; Actinomycetaceae.